CGGCCUUGACAUACUAAGAACUUUCCAGAGAUGGAUUGGUGCCUUCGGGAACUUAGAUACAGGUGCUGCAUGGCUGUCGUCAGCUCGUGUCGUGAGAGUGUUGGGUUAAGUCCCGNAACGAGCGCAACCCUUUUCCUUAUUUGCCAGCGGGUCAUGCCGGGAACUUUAAGGAUACUGCCAGUGACAAACUGGAGGAAGGCGGGGACGACGUCAAGUCAUCAUGGCCCUUACGGCCAGGGCUACACACGUGCUACAAUGGUCGGUACAAAGGGUUGCUACCUCGCGAGAGGAUGCUAAUCUCAAAAAGCCGAUCGUAGUCCGGAUCGCAGUCUGCAACUCGACUGCGUGAAGUCGGAAUCGCUAGUAAUCGCGGAUCAGAAUGCCGCGGUGAAUACGUUCCCGGGCCUUGUACACACCGCCCGUCACACCAUGGGAGUUUGUUGCACCAGAAGUAGGUAGUCUAACCGCAAGGAGGACGCUUACCACGGUGUGGCCGAUGACUGGGGUGAAGUCGUAACAAGGUAGGCGUAGAUGA
Molecule: ribosomal RNA, 535 nt
Filed under: uncultured bacterium
Lineage: Bacteria
Description: bacterial SSU rRNA
Rfam family: Bacterial small subunit ribosomal RNA
Source: RNAcentral